GUUGAAACACUAUUUCCCGUACGGUCACCGAAGUUGAGCAAUGUUGGGCCUGGUCAGUACCUUGAUGGGUAACCACUUGGGAAUGACAGGUGCUGCAAG
Acanthosepion pharaonis is the source of this 99-nucleotide non-coding RNA. The record is from the annotation of a GenBank genome assembly. Lineage: Eukaryota; Metazoa; Mollusca; Cephalopoda; Sepiida; Sepiidae.